CCUACGGGCGGCAGCAGUAGGGAAUUUUCGUCAAUGGGCGCAAGCCUGAACGAGCGAUGCCGCGUGAGUGAAGACGGCCUUCGGGUCGUAAAGCCCUGUUGCGGGGGAAAAAAAGCAGCAUCAGGAAAUGGGUGCUGACUGAUGGUGCCCCGCCGGAAAGGCACGGCUAAAUACGUGCCAGCAGCCGCGGUAAUACGUAGGUGGCGAGCGUUAUCCGGAAUGAUUGGGGGUAAAGGGGGCGGAGGCGGUCCUUCAAGUCUGGAGUGAAACGGAUGAGCACAACCCAUGCAUGGCUUUGGAAACUGGAUGACUGGAGAGCAGGAGAGGGAGGUGGAACUCCAUGUGUAGCGGUAAAAUGCGUAGAUAUAUGGAAGAACACCAGUGGCGAAGGCGGCCGCCUGGCCUGUUGCUGACGCUGAGGCACGAAAGCGUGGGGAGCAAAUAGGAUUAGAUACCCGGGUAGUC
RNAcentral lists this ribosomal RNA (465 nucleotides) under uncultured bacterium. Its description in RNAcentral is "partial 16S ribosomal RNA". It matches the Rfam family "Bacterial small subunit ribosomal RNA", at positions 338 to 795 of the family's 1533-position model. The record is from RNAcentral.